GGCCUAACACAUGCAAGUCGAGCGGUAGAGAGAAGCUUGCUUCUCUUGAGAGAGGCGGACGGGUGAGUAAAGCCUAGGAAUCUGCCUGGUAGUGGGGGAUAACGUUCGGAAACGGACGCUAAUACCGCAUACGUCCUACGGGAGAAAGCAGGCUUUUUUCGGGCCUUGCGCUAUCAGAUGAGCCUUCGUCGGAUUAGCUAGUUGGUGAGGUAAUGGCUCACCAAGGCGACGAUCCGUAACUGGUCUGAGAGGAUGAUCAGUCACACUGGAACUGAGACACGGUCCAGACUCCUACGGGAGGCAGCAGUGGGGAAUAUUGGACAAUGGGCGAAAGCCUGAUCCGCCAUGCCGCGUGUGUUAAGAAGGUCUUCGGGUUGUAAAGCAACUUUAAGUUGGGAGGAAGGUCAUUAACCUAAUACGUUAGUGUUUUGACGUUACCGUCAGAAUAAGCACCG
Molecule: ribosomal RNA, 455 nt
Filed under: Pseudomonas fluorescens
Lineage: Bacteria; Pseudomonadati; Pseudomonadota; Gammaproteobacteria; Pseudomonadales; Pseudomonadaceae
Description: bacterial SSU rRNA
Rfam family: Bacterial small subunit ribosomal RNA
Source: RNAcentral